Molecule: ribosomal RNA, 346 nt
Filed under: uncultured eukaryote
Lineage: Eukaryota
Description: SSU rRNA
Rfam family: Eukaryotic small subunit ribosomal RNA
Source: RNAcentral
AUAGCGUAUAUUAAAGUUGUUGCAGUUAAAAAGCUCGUAGUUGAAACUUGGGUCUGGCUAGCGGGUCCGCCUCACCGCGUGCACUUGUCCGGAUGGACCUUUCCUUCUGGAGAACCUCAUGCCCUUCACUGGGUGUGUUGGGGAACCAGGACUUUUACUUUGAAAAAAUUAGAGUGUUCAAAGCAGGCCUUUGCUCGAAUACGUUAGCAUGGAAUAAUAGAAUAGGACGUGCGGUCCUAUUUUGUUGGUUUCUAGGAUCGCCGUAAUGAUUAAUAGGGAUAGUCGGGGGCAUCAGUAUUCAAUUGUCAGAGGUGAAAUUCUUGGAUUUAUUGAAGACUAACUACUG